GACGAACGCUGGCGGCGUGCUUAACACAUGCAAGUCGAACGGAAAGGCGCUGCUUUUGUGGGGUGCUCGAGUGGCGAACGGGUGAGUAACACGUGAGUAACCUUCCCUUGACUUUGGGAUAACUUCAGGAAACUGGGGCUAAUACCGGAUAGGAGCUCCUGCUGCAUGGUGGUUGUUGGAAAUUUUCGGCGGUUGGGGAUGGACUCGCGGUUUAUCAGCUUGUUGGUGGGGUAGUGGCUUACCAAGGCUUUGACGGGUAGCCGGCCUGAGAGGGUGACCGGGCACAUUGGGACUGAGAUACGGCCCAGACUCCUACGGGAGGCAGCAGUGGGGAAUAUUGCACAAUGGGAGGAAGCCUGAUGCAGAAACGCCGCGUGCGGGAUGACGGCCUUCGGGUUGUAAACCGAUUUCGCCUGUGACGAAGAGUAAGUGACGGUAAUGUGUAAAGAAGCACCGGCUAACUACGUG
This 468-nucleotide ribosomal RNA is filed under the name uncultured bacterium. RNAcentral's name for it is "partial 16S ribosomal RNA". It matches the Rfam family "Bacterial small subunit ribosomal RNA", at positions 28 to 507 of the family's 1533-position model. The record is from RNAcentral.